Molecule: ribosomal RNA, 253 nt
Filed under: uncultured bacterium
Lineage: Bacteria
Description: partial 16S ribosomal RNA
Rfam family: Bacterial small subunit ribosomal RNA
Source: RNAcentral
UACGGAGGGAGCUAGCGUUGUUCGGAAUUACUGGGCGUAAAGCGCACGUAGGCGGCUUUUUAAGUCAGGGGUGAAAUCCCGGGGCUCAACCCCGGAACUGCCCUUGAAACUGGAGAGCUAGAAUCUUGGAGAGGCGAGUGGAAUUCCGAGUGUAGAGGUGAAAUUCGUAGAUAUCAGGAGGAACACCGGUGGCGAAGGCGGCCAUCUGGACGACAACUGAUGCUGAGAUGCGAAAGCGUGGGGAGCAAACAGG